Tarenaya hassleriana is the source of this 1003-nucleotide long non-coding RNA. RefSeq lists it as uncharacterized. The transcript is spliced from 3 exons. Lineage: Eukaryota; Viridiplantae; Streptophyta; Magnoliopsida; Brassicales; Cleomaceae. The record is from RefSeq and is a predicted model, not a curated record.
UCGCAUCAGCUUCAACAACUGUUACUGUAUGGUUUGCAAUGCUGAAGAAGAGCUCGUCAUUGAGUGCAGCAUUGAUUAGCCGUAAAAGGACACUGUGUUAUGUAUGCCGGUCCGUCAGCCCAACCAGAACGCAACUGCCGGAUCCCAUGCCUGUUUUCACACCCCGCAAAAGCCAAAAAAUCACGAAGGCGGUCGCCUUCUCUUGCCACCAGCCGAGGCCCUGGGAACUUCCCGUUAACCGAAACAAUGCUCCUCGUGUGGCAGAGACGUGUCACGUUUUGCAUUUUGAUCUACACAUGUGAAACAUUGAUCAUUAUUUGCAUUUUCUGUUAACCACAUUGCCUUUCCCCAUUAACAAUUCAUAUACUGCACAUGAAGUUGGCCUUACUUCAAGCUUGUAGUGUCUUGUAAUACCAAAUGCAGGCGAAGGAAGAAGAACGAGAAGGCAAGAGAACAGAGCAAGGAAAUGUUGAAACUUCAUGGAAAGUGUCAUUGUUCCUGCAAAAUCCAUAAAAGAAAUGGAGGUAUGACCGAGUCCGUUCUAGCUCGGAUUGCUUUCUUGUAAAUGUGCUUAAUGGGUUUGAAUCGAGGCCAAUAUAUAGGAUGGGAGGGUGGGUGUUUUGCUUGAAAAACGAGAUAGAGAAAUAGUAAUAGUUUUGUGAAAUUCUGCACUGAUGUUGACCAGUUGUUAGACCAGACACAGCUUAAGGAGUGGUGUCAAAGAUAAAUCUAAAAAAGGUUGUCUCUUUUGAUCUCCUUCCUCUUCAAGUCGAAAACUUUCUUUCUUUUUUUAAAUGUUUUGUUUCAGGACAAGGCAUUUUAACGUGAAGAAAGAUGGCAGUGUAUUAAUGGCGAUUAGGGUUCUUGAAACCAUUUGCGUUUCAGGACAAGCCAAUUUGCGUUUUAGUUUUGUAACACUCAAUGCGUAAGAAUAUGGAUUUGUCGGAUUUGUGUAAUGAAAUUGAUUAUCCGUUUAUAUUGUAUAAUUGAGGAUUAGACCACC